Long non-coding RNA from Betta splendens (Siamese fighting fish), 1805 nucleotides. The record is from Ensembl. NCBI's taxonomy places the organism in Eukaryota, Metazoa, Chordata, Actinopteri, Anabantiformes, Osphronemidae.
UUGAACUUUUUAUUGCCUGCUGAAUGAAAAAGUUUCACAUUUUAAUAUUCGGCAAUGUUUCCUGUUCAAUAUUCCUGAACAUUUUUAUUCACAGCUCAGAGUCCGUCUCUUCACUGACAUUUAUCCAAGACCAACAAUAUUCAUCUGUCUCUGAUUGUGUUUGUCUCAUCGUUCCAUCAGAACCAUAUUAGUUUCUGAGAUGUGUUCACUUGGAGGCUUCUGAUAAUUAUUCAGUAAUGAAUAUUCAAAUGUUUUCUUCUGUAUUCUGAAUCAGUCACAAAUAAACCACAUCAAAAGGUCAACAGUGAUUUUGAAAUGUAUUUGUUUCUUUAUUGGUUCAGAACCAAUAACUGGUUUCUGGCUGUUACAAACGGGAUCUAAGAGUUAUUUAGGCAACAUAUGUCACAAGUGCCAGGUUUAUUUCCUGGGUUUGCCUUUUAUUUUGACACCCUGUCUCUUCCUGUGCUCCUGUCAUUCCAGUUUGUCCAGCUUGUUGCUUGUUCACCUCUGCUCCCUCUGCCACAGCUGUGCCACAGCAGCCACUGGGCCCAGCUGCACUAAUCUGAACCUGGAGUCUUUAAACCAGGUCCAGACUCACCUUCUGUCUUCUCAGGGAGGAUCCAGGGCUGUCAUCUGUCCACUGGAUCUUCAGCUGGUUCCUCCUGAACCUCUAGUUACCAGCUCUGCUGACAGAAUAGAUGCGGUUGACGUGUGGAUCCACAUUCAUUCUGUGCAUCAAGAUAAACACAUCAUGAAAUAUUCACACAUGUCAUGUAACACCAGAACCAGGCCUGUGUUUGUCUGAUGAAGCAGAUCCAGCAGCUGACACACUCUGGGAAAACAACAAACCAUCAGAGAGACUCAAGGACAACACAUCUGCUUCUGUUAAGAAGUGAAGAUGAGUUUCCACAGCAGCAUCACACUCCGCACUCACUGCAUUGGAACGAUAAUUGACUGAGCUGCAAGUGUCUCACACACAAAUAAGACGAGGUCAUGACCUCGGAGCGUCAUGCGGCGGCGUCCCGGUGGAGUGGACACACACUUCACAUCUCACGCAGUGUGUGAGGUUUAACAGGAGGGAGGUGGGGUAAUUAUAGCCAAGGAAGAUAUGAAAAUGACUCUGUGGGUUGACCUUUGACCUUGUCGGCAUCAUUAAAGAAGCAGCCUGUCACGUUGCUGCUUAGCACGUAGCACAACGCCACAGACCUUCAAAGCAAAUGACUUUUUACUAGGGCUGGGUGCGUCAACGUGCAUUGUCUGCAUUAACGCAGUUUCUUUUUAUUAUUGAUGAUUGGAAAGUUCAUUGCCCACUGGCUCUGAAUACACAUACAGACAAACAAUGGGUCAUCGGAGGAGCAGGCUGUUGAUCAGUACUGGCCUGAGAAACACACAACCAAUCAGAGCUGUUGGGGGUGGAUCCUAAGACUGCGCAGCGCUUACUUAACUGGAACCGACAGAUGAACUGAGAAAGGUGUCUUACGUGGACAUUAUCAAUUUAAAUAUUUUCCGAAUGACAGAGUUCAUUAAAACCAGUCAUUUGUAGCAACAGUAAAGCUGAUCCUGAAUCAGCUGAAUCGCAUCGUAGUACUUCAAGUGUGAGGUAUCAGUGCAAUGCAAUAUGCAACGUUGAUGCCAGCAAAUCCCCCACGUAAACAAACAGUGGAGGGAGACUUCGGCAGAUUAUAUUGGAUGUAGCGUGUGACAGAAGUAUAAACAAAAGACUCUCAUGGCAUCUGGUCUUCACUGUUAUUUUCUGCUUUGCUUUCCGGUUUUAUUUUGACACUUCUUGUUUGGUUUCCUGUCUG